UUAUACGACCGUACCGCAAACCGACACUGGUGCGCGAGAUGAGUAUUCUAAGGCGCUUGAGAGAACUCAGGAGAAGGAACUCGGCAAAUUGACACCGUAACUUCGGAAGAAGGUGUGCCCUAUUAGUGUGUAGUGAACAACGAAGCAUGAAUGGGUUGCAAAAAAUCGGUGGCUGCGACUGUUUAUUAAAAACACAGCACUCUGCAAACACGAAAGUGGACGUAUAGGGUGUGACGCCUGCCCGGUGCUGGAAGAUUAAAUGAUGGGGUGCAAGCUCUUGAUUGAAGUCCCAGUAAACGGCGGCCGUAACAAUAACGGUCCUAAGGUAGCGAAAUUCCUUGUCGGGUAAGUUCCGACCUGCACGAAUGGCGUAACGAUGGCCACACUGUCUCCUCCUGAGACUCAGCGAAGUUGAAAUGUUUGUGAUGAUGCAAUCUCCCCGCGGAAAGACGGAAAGACCCCAUGAACCUUUACUGUAGCUUUGUAUUGGACUUUGAACAGAUCUGUGUAGGAUAGGUGGGAGGCUUUGGAGCAGGGUCGCUAGAUCUUGUGGAGCCAACGUUGAAAUACCACCCUGGUGUGUUUGAGGUUCUAACCUAGGUCCAUUAUCUGGAUCGGGGACAGUGCUUGGUAGGCAGUUUGACUGGGGCGGUCUCCUCCCAAAGCGUAACGGAGGAGUUCGAAGGUACGCUAGUUACGGUCGGACAUCGUGACGAUAGUGCAAUGGCAUAAGCGUGCUUAACUGCGAGACUGACAAGUCGAGCAGAUGCGAAAGCAGGACAUAGUGAUCCGGUGGUUCUGUAUGGAAGGGCCAUCGCUCAACGGAUAAAAGGUACUCUGGGGAUAACAGGCUGAUACCGCCCAAGAGUUCAUAUCGACGGCGGUGUUUGGCACCUCGAUGUCGGCUCAUCUCAUCCUGGGGCUGUAGCCGGUCCCAAGGGUAUGGCUGUUCGCCAUUUAAAGAGGUACGUGAGCUGGGUUUAAAACGUCGUGAGACAGUUUGGUCCCUAUCUUCCGUGGGCGCUGCAGAUUUGAGGAAGCCUGCUCCUAGUACGAGAGGACCGGAGUGGACACACCUCUGGUGUAUCGGUUGUCACGCCAGUGGCAUUGCCGAGUAGCUAAGUGUGGAAGAGAUAACCGCUGAAAGCAUCUAAGCGGGAAACUCGUUUCAAGAUGAGAUCUGCCGGGGCCUUGAGCCCCCUAAAGAGUCGUUCAAGACCAGGACGUUGAUAGGUCAGGUGUGGAAGC
RNAcentral lists this ribosomal RNA (1248 nucleotides) under metagenome. RNAcentral describes it as "bacterial LSU rRNA". It matches the Rfam family "Bacterial large subunit ribosomal RNA", at positions 1634 to 2874 of the family's 2925-position model. The record is from RNAcentral.